This 178-nucleotide ribosomal RNA is filed under the name uncultured bacterium. Its description in RNAcentral is "partial 16S ribosomal RNA". It matches the Rfam family "Bacterial small subunit ribosomal RNA", at positions 1315 to 1500 of the family's 1533-position model. The record is from RNAcentral.
ACUCCGUGAAGCUGGAUUCGCUAGUAAUCGCGCAUCAGCCAUGGCGCGGUGAAUACGUUCCCGGGCCCUGUACACACCGCCCGUCAAGCCAUGGAAGCCGGGGGCGCCUGAAGUGCGUUGCCGCAAGGCGCGCCCUAGAGCGAAACCGGUGACUGGGGCUAAGUCGUAACAAGGUAGC